This is a long non-coding RNA of Lycium ferocissimum, 740 nucleotides long. RefSeq lists it as uncharacterized. The record is from RefSeq and is a predicted model, not a curated record. The transcript has 2 exons. NCBI's taxonomy places the organism in Eukaryota, Viridiplantae, Streptophyta, Magnoliopsida, Solanales, Solanaceae.
UUGUAAUCGUUUUCCCUCAUCAGAUUGACCAAACAAUCAAUAUUCUCAACGUGGUCGUGGUGGUCGUGGUUCAGUCCGAGGACGAGAAGGACGUGGUGGUCGUGGCUCUUUUUCCAGAAAUUCGAACCACACUGGUUCGUCAAACUACACUUAUGGUUAGGCGUGCAGUUUCCCUAAUGAUGGUAGGUCGAGGUGUCAAAUUUGUAAUGGCACAAAUCAUCUUGCGCCCACGUAUUUUCAGCGCUACAAUCAUACCAUAAAUCCCUCAGUGCAUCUCACUCAUCAGGCGCCUAUUCUGUUUACUCAAAAUUGGUUCCCCGACACCCAUGCCACUCACCAUGUUGCCCCUGACUUAUCCAGCUUUCAUCACGUAGAGGAAUAUAAAGGUCCGGAUCAACUCUAUGUCAAAGAAUGGACAAGGCCUGUCAAUUCAUAAUACUGGAUCGGGACUCCAGGAUUCCGCUUCUUCAGGUCCGAGUAGCAGUGGUCUCUACACCAUGCCAGUAAAGUCUUCUGCACCUUUUCAUCCUUCAGCUCUCUUGGCCACAAAGCUUUCCUCCUCUCGUUGGUAUCUUUGGCUUGGACAUCCCCAUCAAUAAGUGCUUAGUAAAGUGUUAUCUAGUUAUAGGCUUUCUGCUUCUAGUUCUAAAUUAGAUACUUUAUAUAGCGCUUGUCAACUUGGCAAGUCACACAAAUUGUCUCUUCCUCUUCGUAUUAAUAAAAGCACUUCUUUAUUGCAA